ACUACCUCCCGCUCUCAGCA
RNAcentral lists this small nuclear RNA (20 nucleotides) under Arabidopsis thaliana (thale cress). RNAcentral describes it as "snRNA_01271". Lineage: Eukaryota; Viridiplantae; Streptophyta; Magnoliopsida; Brassicales; Brassicaceae. The record is from RNAcentral.